UGUUGGAGAGGAUGUGGAGAAACAGGAAGUGUAAAUUAAUUCACCCAUUGUAAAAGACAGUGUAGUGAAUUCUCAAUGAUCUGGAAUCAGAAAUACAAUUUGACCCAGCAAUUCCAUUACUGGAUAUAUAUCCAAAUUAUUAUAAAUCAUUCUACUAUAAAAA
This is a long non-coding RNA of Sapajus apella (tufted capuchin), 163 nucleotides long. RefSeq lists it as uncharacterized. NCBI's taxonomy places the organism in Eukaryota, Metazoa, Chordata, Mammalia, Primates, Cebidae. The transcript is spliced from 3 exons. The record is from RefSeq and is a predicted model, not a curated record.